RNAcentral lists this ribosomal RNA (638 nucleotides) under uncultured bacterium. Its description in RNAcentral is "bacterial SSU rRNA". It matches the Rfam family "Bacterial small subunit ribosomal RNA", at positions 105 to 742 of the family's 1533-position model. The record is from RNAcentral.
GGUGAGUAACACGUAUCCAACCUGCCUCAUACUCGGGGAUAGCCUUUCGAAAGAAAGAUUAAUAUCCGAUAGCAUAUAUUUCCCGCAUGGGUUUUAUAUUAAAGAAAUUCGGUAUGAGAUGGGGAUGCGUUCCAUUAGUUUGUUGGCGGGGUAACGGCCCACCAAGACUACGAUGGAUAGGGGUUCUGAGAGGAAGGUCCCCCACAUUGGAACUGAGACACGGUCCAAACUCCUACGGGAGGCAGCAGUGAGGAAUAUUGGUCAAUGGACGCGAGUCUGAACCAGCCAAGUAGCGUGAAGGAUGACUGCCCUAUGGGUUGUAAACUUCUUUUAUAUGGGAAUAAAGUGGUCCACGUGUGGAUUUUUGUAUGUACCAUAUGAAUAAGGAUCGGCUAACUCCGUGCCAGCAGCCGCGGUAAUACGGAGGAUCCGAGCGUUAUCCGGAUUUAUUGGGUUUAAAGGGAGCGUAGGCGGAUUGUUAAGUCAGUUGUGAAAGUUUGCGGCUCAACCGUAAAAUUGCAGUUGAUACUGGCAGUCUUGAGUGCAGUAGAGGUGGGCGGAAUUCGUGGUGUAGCGGUGAAAUGCUUAGAUAUCACGAAGAACUCCGAUUGCGAAGGCAGCUCACUGGAGUGUAACUG